GGCGACCGGGUGAGUAACACGUGACUAACCUACCCUUGAGUGGGGUGGAUAACCUCGGGAAACCGGGGCUAAAUACCGCAUAACCAUCGCAAGAUCAAAGGAGCAAUCCGCUGAAGGAGGGGGUCGCGGCUGAUUAGUUAGUUGGUGAGGUAACGGCUCACCAAGACGAAGAUCAGUAGCCGGCCUGAGAGGGCGCACGGCACACUGGAACUGAAACACGGUCCAGACUCCUACGGGAGGCAGCAGUGGGGAAUUUUGCGCAAUGGGGGAAACCCUGACGCAGCAACGCCGCGUGGAGGCAAUGAAGUCCCUUGGGAUGUUAACUCCUUUCGAUCGGGACGAUUAUACGGUACCGGAAGAAGAAGCACCGGCUAACUCUGUGCCAAGAGCCG
Molecule: ribosomal RNA, 392 nt
Filed under: uncultured bacterium
Lineage: Bacteria
Description: bacterial SSU rRNA
Rfam family: Bacterial small subunit ribosomal RNA
Source: RNAcentral